Molecule: non-coding RNA, 64 nt
Organism: Cicer arietinum (chickpea)
Lineage: Eukaryota; Viridiplantae; Streptophyta; Magnoliopsida; Fabales; Fabaceae
Source: Rfam
UUUUUACACUUGAUCUCUGAACUUCAGGUAAGUUCUUGUGUUGACAAGUUUAUUCGCUGAUGCA